This is a long non-coding RNA of Oryctolagus cuniculus (rabbit), 2571 nucleotides long. The record is from Ensembl. Lineage: Eukaryota; Metazoa; Chordata; Mammalia; Lagomorpha; Leporidae.
AGCCUAUUGACCUCCAUUAAUAUAAAGCAAUGGAGAAAAUAUGGUCAUUUCACAGAGUAAUGAUAAGUUAUGAAAAAGUCAAUAGCAUGCUAGAGAGUUAAGUAAAGGGGAGUUUUUUGGUGUUCUGUUUGGUUGUUUUAAAUGCUGCUUUGCUUUUCGUUUUUUUUUUUGUUGUUGUUGUUUGUUCGUUUUUUUUCUGGUUUGCCCCCUUCCCUCUUGGUGGGUUUAGAGGAGCAGGCUGGGAGAGAGAACUGAAGGAGCGGAGGUGGCCGGGCCCCAUCAAGUGUCAGGAGGGAAAGUCUCCGCUUUCUCGACACUGGAACACCACCUUCCUCGGCUCCUCCCGCGCUCCCUUCGGGAUAACUUACCACCUGAACUCAAGUUCAACUCCCUCCGGCGCCAGCGUGCUGGGGGGCUCCGCGGGGAUCCAGGGACACGGAACCCGGCAGAACUCCCGUCUGGAUGGAGGUCCGCACACUCCCGGAUCUUCACGCGCUGUCUCCACGCUCCUUGGCGGGCAGCGGCGCAGCGACCCUGGCGCCCGGCGGGGAAAAGGCGACAGAUGUCAGCGGCGUCCGGCCAGGAAGCUGAGGCGCUGCCUCGUCGCUCGCUGGCCCGCGCGGGGCUCAGAAUGAGAGGCUCGGCGAAGUGAGCGUUCUGCCCAUCAAUCUUCGUCCGCUUCCCCCCGUGACGCUCUCACGCUUAGCUGUUCAUGUUACCAUUCUUCUCCGGCCAAGGAACGAGCCCUGAGACGCCUCCACAGCACCUGAGGGGCAGUCCCGUCAAUCUCCCGCGCACGUACGGGGCACGGAGGGCGGCGACACCGAAGUCCGUGCCCGGCUCGGGAAGUGGCUGAGGACGCCCGGAGGACGAGCGGAAGGUAAAGACGCGCUGCGCUUGCACCGGGCCCGCCGGCUGCCGCCAGCCUUCCGCCGAGACGUCGCUGGUGCCUGCCACGUGCGGAGCCCGGAGCCGGGGAAGGGAGGGCGCGCCGCCCCGGGGGUGGGCAACUCUGCGUGGCCUCCAGCUGCUAUAUAAACACACUCGGACGCCGACGGGAAGAGCAGCACAAGGACGAGCCAGGAGGCUUCGGCUCCCCACUACGCGGAUCCUCCCUGUCUCUGCCCGGGUUUUCUUUUCGGGGGAGGGGCUGGGAGGUUGCUGGGGGGCCACCUCAGACCCACAGGGACCGCGGCUUUCCAGGCAUCUCACCCCAAAGGUGCCCGGCCAGAGAUUCCGGAAGAUACCGCGGCGGCCGCAGGCGGGUUCACCCAGGAUUCGUCAAUGGUGCCGGCCAGAGCGCCACCAGCCGCGCGUGGCGACCGCGGGAGGCGCAGGCGACCCGGGGUUGGGCCCGUCCCGCCGACAGGGGUUCCCCUGGGCCGCGCGCCCCGCCGCUCGGGCCAGUGUUUUUGGACAAAUUGGGGACUAAGAACAUCUGGAAGCAGAAAAAUUGGAGAUAAGAACAAAAGAAGAGGGAAAAGAAAAAAUGGAAGUUGAAAGAGAUACUUUGAAAAACCUGUAUCCUGCUACAUGGUAAGUUUUGUAGGACUGAGAAGUUUGGCCAGUUACACUCCCUUACAAUGUUCCUUUUGGUUAGAUCAUUUAUGGAUUUUUAAAUUCUUUUUCUGAUGAUUAGAAUACUCUGAUACAGCCUUUAAGUAAUUCUGACAAACAUUUUGUUUAAAAAUAUUAAUUUCUUCAAUAUUUCCAAAAAUUUUGGCAGUUAUAUUGUAUCACUAUUACAUUUCUCAUUUCCAUCACUGCCAUUAUUUAAUUCCUGUUCUCAUUUGAUAUUUUGAAUCAUGUCAUUUUCUUAAUUAAAUUUUGCUAAAAUGAGCAUAUUUUACUAAUAUUUUUUCAAGGUAGCUUUAUUUUUAUAGAUCAAAUCUGAACUUUGUCCACUUUGUAUUUUUUCUUUAUCUAUUGUAACUUUUAUUAACUUCAUUUCUAUUUUUUGAGUUGAUCUUAAUCAUCUUAAUCUAGUUUCCUAUUUUCAACUCAGUUAGCUUAAUAGGUAUCAUUUUUUCAAAUAGAUAUCUACAAUUUCAUUUUAUAAAAAUAUUAUUGUAUUAAUGACUACAUAGUUAACAAUUAACAAUGGAAAUUUCUACCUCCUCUGUAUUUUUCCCACUCUAGUUCUAUUCUUUACAAAAAAUCACUUUUCAACUUCUUAGCACUUGCUUCUCAUAUUUUUCAGUUGAUAUAUCUGUAUUUACUAAAUUGUACUGCUUUUUUAUCAUAAGCAUAACUAGUUUCUUCCAGAAGCUGAAACACAAUCUGAUCAUCUAUAAUAUUCUGUUUCCUGAUGUUGGCUUUCUUGGAGUCCUUUGUCACCCUGCAUGCUCCAGAUGGGCAAAGGACUAACAUUUUAGCCUUUACAGUGACAUGGAUGGAACUGGAGGUCAUUAACUUACUUAUACAUGAAGUCUAAAAACUAGGCGAUUUCACAAAAGUUAAAAUAUAAUAGUGGUUACCAGACUCUCAGGAGGGAAGUAGAUAGGGAGUGAUAGGGAAAUUUGAUGGGUGCUUGGUAAUAAAUUGAUAGUAGUUAGAAGUUCUGAAGUUCUA